RNAcentral lists this ribosomal RNA (435 nucleotides) under uncultured Oscillospiraceae bacterium. RNAcentral describes it as "partial 16S ribosomal RNA". It matches the Rfam family "Bacterial small subunit ribosomal RNA", at positions 341 to 792 of the family's 1533-position model. The record is from RNAcentral. Lineage: Bacteria; Bacillati; Bacillota; Clostridia; Eubacteriales; Oscillospiraceae.
ACGGGAGGCAGCAGUGGGGAAUAUUGGGCAAUGGGCGAAAGCCUGACCCAGCGACGCCGCGUGAAGGAAGACGGUCCUCGGAUUGUAAACUUCUUUUAUGUGGGACGAUACAAGACGGUACCACAUGAAUAAGCCACGGCUAACUACGUGCCAGCAGCCGCGGUAAUACGUAGGUGGCGAGCGUUAUCCGGAUUUACUGGGUGUAAAGGGUGUGUAGGCGGGAUUGCAAGUCAGAUGUGAAAUCUAUGGGCUCAACUCAUAGUCUGCAUUUGAAACUGUAGUUCUUGAGGGUCGGAGAGGUAACUGGAAUUCCUGGUGUAGCGGUGAAAUGCGUAGAUAUCAGGAGGAACACCGGUGGCGAAGGCGGGUUACUGGACGACACCUGACGCUGAGACACGAAAGCGUGGGGAGCAAACAGGAUUAGAUACCCUGGUA